AGAAGUGUGGUUUUUAUCUACAUAUGCUCGACAUGAUCAUAUUUGCUCCGGGAAACUCCAGUUUGGCGACUCGAAGCUGAAGGAGGCUGGCAUGGCCCUCCUCCACCUCCUCCUCAUGAGCACAGGCCAUGUCUUUGCCGCCGUCCUCAUUGAUUGACACCUGCCUUCGCCUUAUAUUCGCCCUCGCCUCCCCCUCUAGCUACCCCCUCCGAUACCGCUCCUCCUAUGUCAACUUUGCCCUCACCGCCCUCCUCUUUUGCCGCUGCCUGCUCGGCUUCCUCUUUGCCCUCCAUGUAAGGAUCCGGAUCCUUUGAUUUUUUGCCUCAUGAAUCAUAAAGCAAAAGAAAAAGAAAAAAAUAUAUUUUGGUGUCACGUGCUGCGCAUGUGAGAUGGAAGAGGUGGACGCCCCAUGGAGUUUGUCUCUCCUUCCAAGUUCGAUCGGAGAAGGGAUACUAGGGCCGAUUAAACUCCGAUAAAAAUCUUAAGAUUCCUGUCUUUAAGUUCCUCAGCCAUCUCCCUCAAAUCCCCAGUCAAUCACCAGCAUAAUCAUGAGGAUUAGAGGGUUCCAAUUGUUGAGCACUUUCGAUGAGUUACCACUGGUUCAUACGAGAAAUAAGAAUAGGGAUCAAAAUAUCCAGAAGAACUCGAAUCCGAAGCCUCACGAGAUUUGAACGUACAGAUCCUCUACUUCGCGUGCAUGUCAAGUUCCGUAGAAAAGGGAUAUAAAGCCUCGAGAUGUUGCUCCUUCUGAAGGCAGCAAGGGAGGGAGAACUUUUGAUCUUGGAUGUGACCCUUUAUGCCAAGAUCUUGGAUGCCUAGAAGAAGAAGGGUGCCAAAGAAAUCUGCACGCCUAGAGGGAAAGGGAUGCCUUCCUUUCUUUUUGUUGCACCACCUUUUCUUCUCAUCACGUUAAGUUUCUUUUAUCACACAAAAUUAUCACUUUUUUCACCGGUGAAUAAAGGUUCUCUCCUUUUAUA
Molecule: non-coding RNA, 977 nt
Organism: Elaeis guineensis (African oil palm)
Lineage: Eukaryota; Viridiplantae; Streptophyta; Magnoliopsida; Arecales; Arecaceae
Source: RefSeq, a predicted model, not a curated record